Molecule: long non-coding RNA, 148 nt
Organism: Dermochelys coriacea (leatherback sea turtle)
Lineage: Eukaryota; Metazoa; Chordata; Testudines; Dermochelyidae
Exons: 3
Source: RefSeq, a predicted model, not a curated record
ACACAUUUGAAAUAGUGAUAACACACACAUAGCAAAACUUCAUAAUUUCACACACAAUGACAACACAUCCAACAGAAUAUUGAUGUUCAACAGAUCAAGACUUUUAGAAUGAUACCUCACAAGGCAUACUUUGUACAAAACAUAUAAU